CUUCUUUGUAUCUCCUGAAGGCUGCGCCAAACCCGGAAGUGCAAGGCGUUUACGUCGAGGUCUUCAGAGUAUGACACUUAAUCAGGCAUCUUGGCGCUGGUCCCACAGUUGUUGUGCUCUGCUGGUACCUGAGCUCAAGGUCCGUUGUACCCCAUCAGGCAGAUGGGCCACAUUUCAGCAACACAAAUUGAAGCAGUGAGCUCGUCAUGCAGGAAUUCAUGAAGUCAGAGGACAAAGCAGCAAGGCUACAGGAGCUGAAAGUGAUAGUGACAUCCACCAUAAAAAAGUGAGGUACAUCUGCCUUGUCAAAGCUCUCAGCAGUCAGGUCUGCAAGGUAAAUCACUUUUUUUUCAUGACUGGAGUUGAACCAUACGGUUCUCCCUUUAAACACGUUUGGUUUGGUUUCAUCAAAGUUGUAAGAGCAACAGAGGAAUAGAAAACAUUGUCGCUGCACUAAACGCAUUUCAAAGUGAAAUACAACAGAGGUCAGUUCAAUUUUGCUCAAUUUUAUGUUCCAUACCAUUCAGUUUUUUUUUUUCAAGUGUGGAUUUUUAUGGUUAUAAUUUAUCAGCAGCUAAGCUGCUUUCAUUCACUAACAGAUGGAGAGAUGCUGCCAGAUCCCCAGGAGCAGACUUGGGCCAUGAAAUGAACUCAGCAUGAGAGCUACAUGGGCUGUGUUUCAAAGAAAGAAGGGAGGAAGAGAAGACCGAAAAGGGAUUCACAAACCACCACUUCCAACAUCUGCGGCUUCUGAGCUCCUUGCGAAUAAGGAGAGUCUGUUUCCUCUUUCUGGUACAGGUUUGAAGAUGAACCUAAGAACAUCUAUUAGUAAUACACCUGUAACACACAUGCACACAUUAUGGUGCACUCAGUCCCAGACUGGGAAAGCUUGACUGACAGAUGCACAUGUUCAUCUCUGACAUAAAUAUGAAAAGUUUCCACCCCCUGUGAGUCAAUGUAAUGUGAUGAGGCCUCUGCUUCAAAUUGAAGCCGAGUUUGGUUCACGCUGAUCUGACAUGACAGUAAAAAUAAUUUAUAAAAACUA
This is a long non-coding RNA of Fundulus heteroclitus (mummichog), 1045 nucleotides long. RefSeq lists it as uncharacterized. The record is from RefSeq and is a predicted model, not a curated record. NCBI's taxonomy places the organism in Eukaryota, Metazoa, Chordata, Actinopteri, Cyprinodontiformes, Fundulidae. The transcript has 5 exons.